Molecule: long non-coding RNA, 1746 nt
Organism: Papaver somniferum (opium poppy)
Lineage: Eukaryota; Viridiplantae; Streptophyta; Magnoliopsida; Ranunculales; Papaveraceae
Exons: 3
Source: RefSeq, a predicted model, not a curated record
AGAGCGCAAGCAAGUGAUAAUGAAGAAUAAGAAGAUUCAAUAAUUGAUUAGAUGAGAAAAAUAAGAUAAAUAUGUAGAUUCAUCAAAUUGGGUUUUUUCUAAACUUUUUAAACUUAUUAUUCAUCUGGAUUUCAAUAUUUAAUGGUGGAAAACGAAGGUUAUCUAUUCAAACGAUAUGAUUUAGUCGACUAAAGUGAUGAUUAUCGGUCAUGCUGUUUUCGGUUAGUUUGAUUUAAUUUUAUUUUUUUGUUAAAUUAAUCUAUUUUUGGUUUUAAUUUCUUAAUGUUUUUUAGUAUUAUUUUUUAGAUAUCUAAUGAAUUUUACAAUCGACAAUAAAUGUGAAGAUGUUGGUGAGGAUAGAAUACUUGCUUAUAAAACUAAUUCAAUAGUUUCAAUUUUAAGUUUUUAUUUUGAAUAUUUGCAAAUUUGUUCAUGGAGAUGAUACUAGUUGGUCGUUUUCAUCUGUUUGUGAGGGUAUGCAAGACAUCGCAUGAUUCAUGUUGUCACUGUUCAAGGAAAAACUUAGUUCUUUAUUAAUUCUAUUUCUGAUGAUUAACUCUUAAUGGUGGAUAGAUGGAGAAUUAAGAUAAUGAUGUGAAUUUUGUCCCAAAGCAAUAAAUUUUAAAAUCAAUUGAUUGUUCUCAAGAUGACAGAGAGAUGAAUGUAAUCAAAGAAGUUAGCAGCAAGGAAAAUGUUACACAGGUAGCACAUUUCAUUUUGUAUCUUACCAUAGUUUGGAAAAUGUACAAAAAAUGAAUAGUUUCAGUUUCGAAAACUUCCAAUGCAUGUGUUUUCGUAGGUUUGUCAGGAAUGCAUUUAAUUACAAAUGUGCUAGAAAUUUGUUAAUGGAGCCGAUGGAAGUUUUCUUUGAAAUCCUAGUUCAGAACAUUAUGUGAGUCUAAUAUGUGAAGUUAAUUAUGGAUGAAAUAAGGCUACCGCUGAAGUCAUGAGGAAAUGAAACAAAGUUACAGUAUGGGGAAGUUCACCGGUGGUUGGAACUAAAUUAGCCUACAUAUGAGGUUGAUUUGGUGGUGGUACAUAUCAAUAUUACUGGAUUUUUACUCGAUACAUAUAUAUUGUAUUUUCACUUGGUACAUGUUGAUAUAUGCUGGUUUUUCACUCGGGUACAGGUUCGAAACCAAGAAGGCAUUCCUAAACAUUAUGAGACAUCCUAAAGAGUUAAGAAGUACAUUUGGUUCUUGAGAGAGAGACAAUUCCUCCAAGGUCUCUAGUAAAUGAAUGUAUUGUUCGCAUAGAGCCAAACAGUGCGAGGAGGAUUUCUUGAUCCAUGCAGGCCUCAACCAGGAAGGCGAAUAAUAAUUGCAUCAAACUGCAUGGUAAAGAGUAAAAACAUGUUAGAUUUAAAUUUUGGUCCGAAAAAGCUCAAAUUCAAUAAAGAAGCAAUAACUGUAACUAUGGUCGUUGGAGAUACAACAAACAAGUUAUUGGGGUCAGAGAAUUUGCACGCAUCAAGGAUGGCAGAGACAUGUGGAAUUAUCUCAUCAACUUGAAGAGUCUGAUACCCAGUACAUAUCAAUAUGUACUGGGGUUAUCACUCAACACGUAUCAAUAUGUACUAAAGUUGUCUAAGUUAUAUUUCAGGCAUAUCAAUAUGUACCACGCUUACAUUGUACUAAAGUUGGUUGAGGAAUAUUUCUGGCAUAAUUUUCUUUGCGCCAGGUUUUACACUAGAGGAAGAUAUGUAUUGCCAGUAUUUAAGUCUCCAAAUACAUAUAUAUUGUAAGA